AACGGCCGUACCGUGCUGAAUAUACCGGUUCUCGUUAGAUCACCGAAGUCAAGCAUCAUUGGGCGCGGUCAGUACUUGGGUGGGUGACCACCUGGGAACACCGUGUGCUGUU
RNAcentral lists this ribosomal RNA (112 nucleotides) under Caerostris darwini. The record is from RNAcentral. Lineage: Eukaryota; Metazoa; Arthropoda; Arachnida; Araneae; Araneidae.